This 2029-nucleotide long non-coding RNA is filed under the name Brassica napus (rape). Its description in RNAcentral is "long non-coding RNA (BNAP_LNC016957)". Lineage: Eukaryota; Viridiplantae; Streptophyta; Magnoliopsida; Brassicales; Brassicaceae. The record is from RNAcentral.
UUGUCCAUAAGAUCAUAUGGUAUUCCAUGGUUUAGCAGCUGAUAUUACAAAUAUCAAGAGUUAUAACGACCCAUUUUUAAAAAAAGUAUGAAAGGAAAAUGAUGUUUUCGAAGCUAGGUAUAUAAUAUUUAUUGCGUCAUUUCAUAGUUAAUAAUAACAAAUAUAUAUAUAUAUAUAUAUAAUUCAAGUUUUUCAUAUUUUAUACACCAACAAAGUUUGAGCAAAGAACAUCUAAGCUAUCAUCUCAGGAUUAGGACAUGGUGGAUAGUUGCUAACCUUUGUCCCAAAAGUUGGACCCUUCGUACCACGAAACACCUUCUUCAAGUAUCCUUUCUCCAACCCUAGAUUCUCACACAGCAAAUCCAACAGUUCUUCCGCUAGGUUCUCUAGCCUCUUCCCAAAAUCCUUCAUAGCCGUUCUGUGUUUUAAAGAAACAUGGCAAGCAAAUCAAUGGUUUAUUUUAAUAAGAUCGUUGGAGAUGUGAUUUAAGGGUGAAAGAAAUGUUUGUGUGUGUACCGGUAUUCGUCUGACAUGUUAGGGAUGUCAUAAAGAUUGGUCUGAGGGAGAUGAUGAAGGAAGAAAGUGCUUUCCCAAUCUAUAUCUUCCACUUCGGUCUCGAGAGUAUCUAAACCUUUGGAACGAAGCAUUUCCUUGAAUUUGUGUUCCAUAAAUUGCUUGUAGUGUUCCUUUGUCAUCCUCUCAAUGUUGUCCAUAAGAUCAUAUGGUAUUCCAUGGUUUAGCAGCUGAUAUUACAAAUAUCAAGAGUUAUAACGACCCAUUUUUAAAAAAAGUAUGAAAGGAAAAUGAUGUUUUCGAAGCUAGGUAUAUAAUAUUUAUUGCGUCAUUUCAUAGUUAAUAAUAACAAAUAUAUAUAUAUAUAUAUAUAUAUACCAACAAAGUUUGAGCAAAGAACAUCUAAGCCGUUAUAUUAUUAUAUUUUCUUUGAUUGUAAACAAAAAAAGGACGAGUAGAGAGACGAUAACCUCAAAGAAUCCCCAGUUUUGGCAAGCAUCGUCGAUCAAAGCCAUGGUUUGGUCUCUCUCUUCACCAUUGAGCUUAGAUAGGUCUAUAACAGGAAACUUGAUGUUCUUCUCCAUUACUCUGGAUGUAAACUUGUAAAGUCACUGUUUUUUAACUCGCAACUUAAUGUUUUUGAUGAUGUUUGUUAAAUGUGAGUUGAGGAAUUGAGAGAGGGUCGCUAUUUAUAGGCGCAAAUAGUAAAAUAAAGUUCUUAAAUAUAUACAUACAUACAUGUAAGACGAUAGGUACGUAUCAUCAUACGAUUAUAUAAUUGUGCCAUUUAGAUAAAGUUGCUAGACAUUAUAUUUGUUUUCUUUUUCAUUACAAGAAAAGAAAAGGAGUUAUGAAAGCCGGUUUACAAAAAAAAAAGAAAAGAAAAGGAGUUUGUGGAAGUUGUAUACGAAGGUGUGUAUGUAUGUGCAACAUAAUUGGUGGUACCCUACACUCUUCUUUUUUGAGAUGGGAUAAACUAGGUGUUUUCCAUUUCGAUUCAGUAUGAAAGGAAAAUGAUGUUUUCGAAGCUAGGUAUAUAAUAUUUAUUGCGUCAUUUCAUAGUUAAUAAUAACAAAUAUAUAUAUAUAUAUAUAUAAUUCAAGUUUUUCAUAUUUUAUACACCAACAAAGUUUGAGCAAAGAACAUCUAAGCUCGUUAUAUUAUUAUAUUUUCUUUGAUUGUAAACAAAAAAAGGACGAGUAGAGAGACGAUAACCUCAAAGAAUCCCCAGUUUUGGCAAGCAUCGUCGAUCAAAGCCAUGGUUUGGUCUCUCUCUUCACCAUUGAGCUUAGAUAGGUCUAUAACAGGAAACUUGAUGUUCUUCUCCAUUACUCUGGAUGUAAACUUGUAAAGUCACUGUUUUUUAACUCGCAACUUAAUGUUUUUGAUGAUGUUUGUUAAAUGUGAGUUGAGGAAUUGAGAGAGGGUCGCUAUUUAUAGGCGCAAAUAGUAAAAUAAAGUUCUUAAAUAUAUACAUACAUACAUGUAAGACGAUAGGUACGUAUCAUCAUACGAU